This 253-nucleotide ribosomal RNA is filed under the name uncultured bacterium. Its description in RNAcentral is "partial 16S ribosomal RNA". It matches the Rfam family "Bacterial small subunit ribosomal RNA", at positions 527 to 779 of the family's 1533-position model. The record is from RNAcentral.
CGAAGGUGCAAGCGUUACUCGGAAUUACUGGGCGUAAAGCGUGCGUAGGUGGUCGUUUAAGUCUGUUGUGAAAGCCCUGGGCUCAACCUGGGAACUGCAGUGGAAACUGGACGACUAGAGUGUGGUAGAGGGUAGCGGAAUUCCCGGUGUAGCAGUGAAAUGCGUAGAGAUCGGGAGGAACAUCCAUGGCGAAGGCAGCUACCUGGACCAACACUGACACUGAGGCACGAAAGCGUGGGGAGCAAACAGGAUU